GAUCGCAGUGAUGACUCGGAAAAUUCAAGCUCAACAGACCGGAAUGCAGGCAUCUCCUCUAUUCAUAGAUUUGUUUGCGUGUCGAUUAUCCCGCUGAACUGAGCGAUC
This 108-nucleotide small nucleolar RNA is filed under the name Helianthus annuus (common sunflower). Its description in RNAcentral is "Small nucleolar RNA Z107/R87". It matches the Rfam family "Small nucleolar RNA Z107/R87". Rfam says of the family: Z107 and R87 are members of the C/D class of snoRNA which contain the C (UGAUGA) and D (CUGA) box motifs. Most of the members of the box C/D family function in directing site-specific 2'-O-methylation of substrate RNA The record is from RNAcentral. Lineage: Eukaryota; Viridiplantae; Streptophyta; Magnoliopsida; Asterales; Asteraceae.